This is a non-coding RNA of Poronia punctata, 106 nucleotides long. The record is from the annotation of a GenBank genome assembly. Lineage: Eukaryota; Fungi; Ascomycota; Sordariomycetes; Xylariales; Xylariaceae.
UCUUGAUUGGUCUAGUGGUUAGGAUACCUGCUUGUCAUGAGUGGUCAUCGAUUAGGUGCCCUCGAACAAUGCGCAGGUGGCCGGGGUUCGAUUCCCCGAUCGAGAG